CCUACGGGUGGCUGCAGUGGGGAAUAUUGCACAAUGGGGGAAACCCUGAUGCAGCGACGCCGCGUGAGUGAAGAAGUAUUUCGGUAUGUAAAGCUCUAUCAGCAGGGAAGAAAAUGACGGUACCCGAUUAAGAAGCCCCGGCAAACUACGUGCCAGCAGCCGCGGUAAUAGGUAGGGGGCAAGCGUUAUCAGGAUUUACUGGGUGGAAAGGGAGCGUAGACGGCAGCACAAGUCUGGAGUGAAAUGCCGGGGCUUAACCCCGGAACUGCUUUGGAAACUGGGCAGCUAGAGUGCGGGAGAGGUAAGUGGAAUUCCUGGUGUAGCGGUGAAAUGCGUAGAUAUUAGGAGGAACACCAGUGGCGAAGGCGACUUUCUGGACUGUACCUGACGCUGAGGCGCGAAAGCGUGGGUAGCGAACGGGAUUAGAUACCCCAGUAGUC
Molecule: ribosomal RNA, 440 nt
Filed under: uncultured bacterium
Lineage: Bacteria
Description: partial 16S ribosomal RNA
Rfam family: Bacterial small subunit ribosomal RNA
Source: RNAcentral